Molecule: ribosomal RNA, 425 nt
Filed under: uncultured prokaryote
Description: bacterial SSU rRNA
Rfam family: Bacterial small subunit ribosomal RNA
Source: RNAcentral
UGGGGAAUCAUGGUCAAUGGGCGAAAGCCUGAACCUGCGACGCCGCGUGAGUGAUGAAGGUCGUAAGAUCGUAAAACUCUUUUCAGGGAUCUUAAAGCCUGUCUGUCAACAACAGGCAGGUCUGACUCUCCCUGGAAGAAGCCCCAGCCAACUACGUGCCAGCAGCUGCGGUAAUAAGUAGGGGGCGAGCGUUAUUCGGAAUUACUGGGUGUAAAGGGUAUGUAGGCGGCCCUUCAAGUCCCGUGUCAAAGUCCAGUGCUCAACGCUGGGUGUGCGCGCGGUACUGACGGGCUUGAGGGCUGGAGAGGUGAGCGGAAUUCCCGGUGUAGUGGUAAAAUACGUAGAGAUCGGGAGGAACACCAGCGGCGCAGGCGGCUCACUAGACAGUUUCUGACGCUAAGGUACGAAAGCGUGGGGAGCAAACA